AGUGAACGCUGGCGGUAGGCCUAACACAUGCAAGUCGAACGGCAGCACAGUAAGAGCUUGCUCUUACGGGUGGCGAGUGGCGGGCGGGUGAGGAAUACAUCGGAAUCUACUUUUUCGUGGGGGAUAACGUAGGGAAACUUACGCUAAUACCGCAUACGACCUACGGGUGAAAGCAGGGGAUCUUCGGACCUUGCGCGAUUGAAUGAGCCGAUGUCGGAUUAGCUAGUUGGCGGGGUAAAGGCCCACCAAGGCAACGAUCCGUAGCUGGUCUGAGAGGAUGAUCGGCCACACUGGAACUGAGACACGGUCCAGACUCCUACGGGAGGCAGCAGUAGGGAAUAUUGGGCAAUGGGCGAAAGCCUGAUGCAGCAACACCGCGUGAGUGAUGAAGGCCUUCGGAUCGUAAAGCUCUGUUAUUAGGGAAGAAAAAAUGUAGAAGAAAACACGGAUGUUUUGACGGUACCUAAUGAAAAAGCAACGGCUAACUACGUG
This 492-nucleotide ribosomal RNA is filed under the name uncultured bacterium. RNAcentral's name for it is "partial 16S ribosomal RNA". It matches the Rfam family "Bacterial small subunit ribosomal RNA", at positions 29 to 507 of the family's 1533-position model. The record is from RNAcentral.